CCUACGGGAGGCAGCAGUAGGGAAUCUUUCACAAUGGGCGAAAGCCUGAUGGAGCAACGCCGCGUGCAGGAUGAAGGCCUUCGGGUUGUAAACUGCUUUUAUAAGCGAGAAAUAUGAUGGUAACUUAUGAAUAAGGAUCGGCUAACUACGUGCCAGCAACCGCGGUCAUACGUAGGAUCCGAGCAUUAUCCGGAGUGACUGGGUGUAAAGAGUUGCGUAGGUGGGAUAAUAAGUAGCUAGUGAAAUCUGGUGGCUCAACCAUUCAGACUAUUAGCUAAACUGUUAAGCUCGAGACCGUUAGGGGUAACUGGAAUUUCUAGUGUAGGAGUGAAAUCCGUAGAUAGUAGAAGGAACACCAAUAGCGUAGGCAGGUUGCUGGGACGGUUCUGACACUAAGGCACGAAAGCGUAGGGAGCAAACGGGAUUAGAUACCCUUGUAGUC
RNAcentral lists this ribosomal RNA (442 nucleotides) under uncultured bacterium. RNAcentral's name for it is "partial 16S ribosomal RNA". It matches the Rfam family "Bacterial small subunit ribosomal RNA", at positions 338 to 795 of the family's 1533-position model. The record is from RNAcentral.